RNAcentral lists this ribosomal RNA (312 nucleotides) under uncultured bacterium. RNAcentral describes it as "bacterial SSU rRNA". It matches the Rfam family "Bacterial small subunit ribosomal RNA", at positions 40 to 358 of the family's 1533-position model. The record is from RNAcentral.
CGGCGUGCCUUAUGCAUGCAAGUCGAACGAUUCUGAUUUAUCAGGAUAGUGGCAAACGGGUGAGUAACACGUAAGUAACCUGCCCUUAAGUGGGGAAUAACCCCGGGAAACCGGAGCUAAUACCGCAUGUGGUGUUGGAGGUAAUGCUUCAUCACUAAAGCCUUCGGGUGCUUGAGGAGGGGCUUGCGUUCGAUUAGCUAGUUGGCAGGGUAACGGUCUACCAAGGGCGACGAUCGAUAGCUGGUCUGAGAGGAUGGUCAGCCACACUGGGACUGAGACACGGCCCAGACUCCUACGGGAGGCAGCAGCAAG